AACAUAUGGACCCUCGUAGUUUGGAGUCCACUUGCCCCUGGAAUCGGGCGCGAAAGACAAAACUUUCUUGAGCACAAGGUCACCUUCUCGGAACAUACGAGGCUUGACCUUCUUAUCGAAUGCUUUCUUCAUUCUCUGCUGAUAUAACUGACCAUGACACAUGGCAGUUAAUCGCUUCUCUUCAAUCAAAUUCAACUGGUCAUAACGACUUUGAAUCCGUUCAGCAUCAGUCAACUAGGGAC
Molecule: long non-coding RNA, 242 nt
Filed under: Lathyrus oleraceus (garden pea)
Lineage: Eukaryota; Viridiplantae; Streptophyta; Magnoliopsida; Fabales; Fabaceae
Description: Pisum sativum (pea) long non-coding RNA (PSAT_LNC041152)
Source: RNAcentral